AUGAAUCAUCAGUUCCUGGCUUUGCCUGACUCAGCACUGGGUUUUGUGGGCUGGGGAGUGAAUCAGUCAAUAGAAGUUUUCUCCCUUUGUCUUUCUGUUCUUGUUUGUCAUUCAAAUACAAAGAAUGACUUUUUAAAUAAGAAUACUGGUUCCAGACUAGGAAAUACUGUGCCUGUGUCUUCUCUUUCCAGAGUCAUCUGUAUUAGGAUGCCCAGACCUGGCUGUCUUCCUAACUGUCCUGAGGAGAUAGCUCAGCCCUCAUCGCUCACUGGGAAGACAAGUCAAUGGACCCUCAUUCCCCAGACAUGUCCUACAGCAGGGGUGCCCAGAAGCAUCAGCAAGUCAUCAGAGUCUGGGCUACAUGGGCCUACAGGCUAAUUAGGAGCUCUGUGCAUUGAGCCCCCAAGGUCCUCUCAGCGCAAGCAAUGAGCCACAGCCUACAGACAAUGACAUUGCAGUGGAAAUAUAAUGGCCACUCCUCCCCAUGUGAGUGUCUGCAUCACGAAGCCCCAGACUGAGUCUGUCUCCUUCCCUGUCCUGAGUCCAAAGCCUGAGGCUCCCUUGAACUCCAGGCAGAAGAGCACCAAUGGAACCAGCACCAUUGAUCAUGCCUCUGCUGAGACUCAGCACAGCCCAGUAAGUGCCGAGGGAGACAGUGGAAGUUGAUGGGGCUGUCAGGAACACUGUUUCCUAAUUAUCAGGACAAGCAGGACAGCUGGGGUAGACAGCUGGGAGGGAAACCAUAGACAGUUUCAGCUCAGAGGCCUGUGCUAGUUUAUGUUCUUGGUUCUCAUCAGGGUCUGAGAUUUCUCAUUUUGAAUUUUUCCCUCCCACAGUGAUUCUCAGAACCACUGGAUGUCUCUUCAUGACAGCAGCCUGUGCAUACCUAAAACUGUCCCCUGAGCACUCAGCAAUGUCAUGAAGGUGAUGGUGAGGAGGAGGGGGAGGAUGCCGUGACCCUAACAUCACACAGUUUAUUGAGGGCUUCCUAAGUGCCAGGCUCUGAACCCUAGGUUCUAAGUAGCUUGUUUCAUUGCAUCAACAUAAAACCAUGUUCUGUUGCCCACAUUUAUUGUUAUCUUACAGAAGAGGUGAGGAGCCCUGAGUUUUUGUGUAACUUGUCGAAAGCUGUGGGGUAGAAAAGGGUGAAGUCAUGUUUGAGACACGUGGGUAGUUUGUAGACACGGGGAGCAUGUCCAAUAUUCCCCACUGAUAUAGCAGCCAUCUCUUUCUCUUUCCUGUCACUCCAGGAAGGGACCCCAGUUCAUUGUGAUCUUACCAUGGGGUUUCUUGGUAGAGCAGAGUGAGCAGCAGUAGGUAAAGUAUGGCUGAGUUCAAAUGCACAGAUAAGAGAAAGAACAAGCACAGGGUCAUUCUGGGGCUUCAUUCUCAUUUUCUCUCUCUCUCCCUUUCAUUUCAAGAUUUCACCUCAGCCAUCCACUUUGUCCCCAACUCUUGAAAUCACUCACUUAAUCUGAGAAAGAGGCAUGCGGUUUGGGUCUUGGGUUCCAAGACCAAGGAAUGCAUUAGCAUUGCCUUUAGGCAGCUGAAGUUAGAGAACUGUAAUCCAACCAUCAGGAAAUGGCGUCAUGAAAAUCUUUGAAUUCUACAUAGGAUGAUGGGAACUCAAAGCUGGUGCUGGGUCUUCCCUGAGCUCCCUUACUUCAACUACAGGCAAGAAGGUUUUUGAUCAGAAAAACCAAAAGCAGAAUGACCAGGCCAUGAAAAGAAACAGAAUAAAAGCUUUAAACAAGUUUAAAGCA
This 1763-nucleotide long non-coding RNA is filed under the name Oryctolagus cuniculus (rabbit). RNAcentral's name for it is "lncRNA (ENSOCUG00000036506.1)". Lineage: Eukaryota; Metazoa; Chordata; Mammalia; Lagomorpha; Leporidae. The record is from RNAcentral.